GUGAGCCGUGUGAUGGGAAACCUUCCCGCACGGUUCGGAGAGCACUGAAUUAGAAUGAGAGGUUCACCACACAUCAUUGCAUGCAAGGGGAGCUCGC
RNAcentral lists this small RNA (97 nucleotides) under Salix viminalis (osier). Lineage: Eukaryota; Viridiplantae; Streptophyta; Magnoliopsida; Malpighiales; Salicaceae. The record is from RNAcentral.